This 89-nucleotide non-coding RNA is filed under the name uncultured Apilactobacillus sp. RNAcentral's name for it is "THF riboswitch". It matches the Rfam family "THF (Tetrahydrofolate) riboswitch aptamer". From Rfam's summary of the family: THF riboswitch presents a pseudoknot that joins P1-P2 and the loop of P3 and two THF binding. Lineage: Bacteria; Bacillati; Bacillota; Bacilli; Lactobacillales; Lactobacillaceae. The record is from RNAcentral.
GGAGUAGGGUUAUAUGCGUAAAGUGCUAGUGGAACGGAAUGUGAACGCUAGACGAAAACUACGGUUGCGAUGUAUAUCCCGCAUUCGCC